RNAcentral lists this ribosomal RNA (585 nucleotides) under uncultured bacterium. RNAcentral describes it as "partial 16S ribosomal RNA". It matches the Rfam family "Bacterial small subunit ribosomal RNA", at positions 355 to 1375 of the family's 1533-position model. The record is from RNAcentral.
UGGGGAAUUUUGGACAAUGGGCGAAAGCCUGAUCCAGCAAUGCCGCGUGUGUGAAGAAGGCCUUCGGGUUGUAAAGCACUUUUGUCCGGAAAGAAAUCCUUGGCUCUAAUACAGUCGGGGGAUGACGGUACCGGAAGAAUAAGCACCGGCUAACUACGUGCCAGCAGCCGCGGUAAUACGUAGGGUGCAAGCGUUAAUCGGAAUUACUGGGCGUAAAGCGUGCGCAGGCGGUUUGCUAAGACCGAUGUGAAAUCCCCGGGCUCAACCUGGGAACUGCAUUGGUGACUGGCAGGCUAGAGUAUGGCAGAGGGGGGUAGAAUUCCACGUGUAGCAGUGAAAUGCGUAGAGAUGUGGAGGAAUACCGAUGGCGAAGGCAGCCCCCUGGGCCAAUACUGACGCUCAUGCACGAAAGCGUGGGGAGCAAACAGGAUUAGAUACCCUGGUAGUCCACGCCCUAAACGAUGUCAACUAGUUGUUGGGGAUUCAUUUCCUUAGUAACGUAGCUAACGCGUGAAGUUGACCGCCUGGGGAGUACGGUCGCAAGAUUAAAACUCAAAUGAAUUGAUGGGGUCAUAGCUGUUUCCU